Molecule: ribosomal RNA, 433 nt
Filed under: uncultured bacterium
Lineage: Bacteria
Description: partial 16S ribosomal RNA
Rfam family: Bacterial small subunit ribosomal RNA
Source: RNAcentral
AACGAACGCUGGCGGCAUGCCUAACACAUGCAAGUCGAACGAGACCUCCGGGUCUAGUGGCGCACGGGUGCGUAACGCGUGGGAACCUGCCCUUAGGUUCGGAAUAACUCCCCGAAAGGGGUGCUAAUACCGGAUAAUGUCUUCGGACCAAAGAUUUAUCGCCUUUGGAUGGGCCCGCGUUGGAUUAGCUGGUUGGUAGGGUAAAAGCCUACCAAGGCGACGAUCCAUAGCUGGUCUGGGAGGAUGAUCAGCCACACUGGGACUGGGACACGGCCCAGACUCCUACGGGAGGGGGCAGUGGGGAAUAUUGGACAAUGGGCGGAAGCCUGAACCAGCAAUGCCGGGUGAGUGAUGAAGGCCUUAGAGUUGUAAAGCUCUUUUACCCGGGAUGAUAAUGACAGUACCGGGAGAAUAAGCUCCGGCUAACUCCGUG